Molecule: long non-coding RNA, 2288 nt
Filed under: Olea europaea (common olive)
Lineage: Eukaryota; Viridiplantae; Streptophyta; Magnoliopsida; Lamiales; Oleaceae
Description: long non-coding RNA (OEUR_LNC011779)
Source: RNAcentral
AGGAAGUGAGCAACUGUACCCCAUAGUUGUAAAAGAUCUUGAGCACCCUGGACACAUGCUUAUAGAGGUAUCUCUCAUCAUCUCACUAUUGAGCCCAUGGCUUUGAGCGUGCUAGGGUUUAGCAAUUUUUCUCAACAAUAAUUUGAAGGACUCUUCUGAAGAUCAUUCUCAUCUGCUUUGCUGUGGACCCAGUAUGCUUAUUUUUACUUGUUUAUAUUUGACCAGAUGCUUUGUAAUGACCAUAGUCGCUUUCUGGAAAUUGCUGAUGUGAUUUAUCGUUUGCAACUAACUGUGCUUAAGGGUGUCAUGGAAAGACGCAGCAACAAUACAUGGGCCUGCUUUGUUGUCGAGGUUUACAUUACUCCCCAUACUUGCGUCAUAGAAUUUAUUUAUAUACACAUGAUAAUUAUGCCUGCAUGCAUUCAAUAACUUAAAACAUAUUCAUGCUUUUUUUUUUUUUUUUUGUUGCCCAUAUACUGCAUGUAUUAUACUUUAGCGAAUGAUUAUUCCUAAUGAUUCAAAAGUGAAGAGAAUAGAAAGCAGUUUGGCUGAAGUAUUUAUCUACGAGUAUAGACCAACUGUACAUCUAGUGAAUUGGGCAUUAUCUUGAGCCAAAAUCCACGUGUCAUAAAAUACCUAUAUUUAUACUUCUAAAAUAUUCUCUAUUCUAGUCUUCUGUAUUAGUUACUGAAGAUUCACGCAACAAGAAUCUCAGUUUAGAGGAAACAUUAACAUGAGAAACAAGGACAUUGACUUCAUCAUAUUUGAUAGCUGGAAAAAUUUCUGAAAACAAAUAGGCAAGUUCCUGAUUAUUGGAAAAGACACAUUUCUUAGGUAAAGAUAUAGUUUUUGAAUGGAGAGAAUGAAAAACAUUACGACAUUGUCUCUAAACCAUGGCUGGUGAAUAAGGGGAUCUUUUUAAUGUUUUUCUGGGUAAAAUUGUCUAAGGCUAUUCAGAAGAUGAUUUUGUUUCAUUCAUUUGAUCUUACAGACAGGGAAAAACUGUUGAGAAAGUAGAAAAACUGGUUUAGACAACCGGAGAGUAGAAAUGCUAACUUCAAAAAAGUAUGGUAAAAUACUCAUAAAGGAUAAGCUGCUUGUGCCUGGUAACUUGCAUUGAAAUAAAAUUUUCCAUAACUACAUAUACUGCCUACAGAAUAGGCACCAAACUUUUUCCUUUUCCUCUAGAGCUUAACUGUGGAUUAUUGAGAAGCGCAUAGUGGCCACACUGUGUUUAGUUGUGUAUUUUAUUGAUAAUAGCUGCUGAUUUUGGAUGUGAGAUCAAUUUUUGAUUGGAUAUUUUCUUAUUAAUAUUGAUAUUUACUUUCUUGCAAGAUGAAAAUUGCAGUGUUAUUUUGUAUGCAGUGAUGAUAUAAGGGUUUUAUGAUAUUUUAUAGUGUUGCUGAAACUAUUAAUAAAAGUGAACUACAAAAGUUCCAAUAUAUAUACAUUAUUGGACUGUUAUUAUGGACCUUGAAUAACAGUCCGGAAGAUCUCAUGGACUGGUUCCAACAGUUCAUCACAGAAGAAAGGACUCACUAAGCCUUCUUACGAUAUUCUGUAGUGUUGCUGAAACUAUUAACAAAAGUGAACUACUACACUUCCUUUGGUAGAUCUAUUGAAAACGGCAAUAUAUAACAUUUGACUUCUAUCUUAAUCAUUUAUUUAUGAUGAAUUGUACCUUUGACUUGAACUACAGCAAUUCCCUUGGUUUGCCAAUUAUGAUGAAGUGCUACCUCUAGGGUUCUUCAUUUUUCAUUACCUUUCCACCUCAGAUUAUUUUGUCCGGUCUAGUAUUUAUCCUGGUUUAAUAUCGCUUGCAAUGCAGGCCACAAGAAACUUUCAUCGUCUGGAUAUCUUCUGGCCUUUGAUGCAGCUUCUGCAACAAAAUCAGACAGCGAGCUCGAGCAAAAUCUAAACUGUAUGAAUAUGUUUAUAUUCUAGUGUCAUGUCAUGUGUACACAACAAUCUCAAAUUCAACCGCCUGUCAAUAUUUUUAUUUUUAUUGGAAUAAUUAGCAAUUGGUAACAAUGAAAAUUGCUGAUGCUCUACUAUAUACUAUUUAGUAAUCAUAGACCCAAUGUAACAUUUUUAGCCAUUUUAUUUUUGACAGGAAAAACUAGAAACAUAUUUUAUACACACUUAAAAACACUAUCAAACAAACAUUCCUAAAUAUAUAGUCUACCUCUUAUGUAUAGCGGAAGUUAAUCUGGCAUUUGGGACAUCUCUCACGCCAUAAGUAUACUCUUUUCUUAAAGAAAAAUGAUCUAUUACACACUUCACAAAAU